GUUGACUGCUGCGUCUCUGGAGCGCAGAGAAUAACAUGGCAAAGACCCUGCAGCAUCCACCAUGCUGUUGAGACUUCCUCCCCACUACUGGAGAUCUCUGGAUGGGAGAUGAUGGUUGACUGGUCGGUAUUUUUCUUUGUUUAAUCUGCUGAUCCUUCUGCUGGAUGCUCAUAGUUUCUGCUUAACUUUUUGUACAGAAACAAUGAAUUGAAGGAAAGGGAGGAGGGAGAAACUAGUGGUAAGGGCGUCUUUUAUACUGAUUUCUUCCUCGGCAUUGUUCUAUGAGGAGCACUGGAUAUUGUUGCUUAGUGAUGGGAACUGAUGAAUUCGGC
Molecule: long non-coding RNA, 332 nt
Filed under: Phoenix dactylifera (date palm)
Lineage: Eukaryota; Viridiplantae; Streptophyta; Magnoliopsida; Arecales; Arecaceae
Description: long non-coding RNA (PDAC_LNC018397)
Source: RNAcentral